UACGGAGGAUCCAAGCGUUAUCCGGAAUUACUGGGCGUAAAGAGUUGCGUAGGUGGCAUGGCAAGUUGGUAGUGAAAGCGUUCGGCUCAACCGGAUACACAUUACUAAAACUGCCAAGCUAGAGGACAAGAGAGGUCACUGGAAUUCCUAGUGUAGGAGUGAAAUCCGUAGAUAUUAGGAGGAACACCGAUGGCGUAGGCAGGUGACUGGCUUGUUCCUGACACUAAGGCACGAAAGCGUGGGUAGCAAACGGG
RNAcentral lists this ribosomal RNA (254 nucleotides) under uncultured prokaryote. RNAcentral's name for it is "partial 16S ribosomal RNA". It matches the Rfam family "Bacterial small subunit ribosomal RNA", at positions 524 to 776 of the family's 1533-position model. The record is from RNAcentral.